Molecule: ribosomal RNA, 468 nt
Filed under: uncultured bacterium
Lineage: Bacteria
Description: partial 16S ribosomal RNA
Rfam family: Bacterial small subunit ribosomal RNA
Source: RNAcentral
GACGAACGCUGGCGGCGUGCUUAACACAUGCAAGUCGAACGGAAAGGCCCUGCUUUUGUGGGGUGCUCGAGUGGCGAACGGGUGAGUAACACGUGAGUAACCUGCCCUUGACUUUGGGAUAACUUCAGGAAACUGGGGCUAAUACCGGAUAGGAGCUCCUGCUGCAUGGUGGGGGUUGGAAAGUUUCGGCGGUUGGGGAUGGACUCGCGGCUUAUCAGCUUGUUGGUGGGGUAGUGGCUUACCAAGGCUUUGACGGGUAGCCGGCCUGAGAGGGUGACCGGCCACAUUGGGACUGAGAUACUGCCCAGACUCCUACGGGAGGCAGCAGUGGGGAAUAUUGCACAAUGGGCGGAAGCCUGAUGCAGCAACGCCGCGUGCGGGAUGACGGCCUUCGGGUUGUAAACCGCUUUCGCCUGUGACGAAGCGUGAGUGACGGUAAUGGGUAAAGAAGCACCGGCUAAUUACGUG